AAUACACUGUAAAUAAUUUUCGUUGUUUUCACAGUUUUUUACUGUUUUUCUCGACAGUUUCUUACUGUAUAAGUUGUUUACAGUUUGUUACUAUAGAUUUGUUGUUUCCACAGUAUUUUAAUGUAUUUUCAACAGUUUUUUACUGCAUAAGCUUUGUACAGUAGGCUACUGUAGUUUUCCAAUGCAUUAUGGGAAAUAUUACUCUGAAUACAGUAUUACCAACCAACUGCAAAACACAACGACAAACGUCUAUUUAUAUCUUAAAUGCUUAAUUUUUUUGUGAGAUAUUUGGUUUAAUGUCUGUUUUCACAUCAGAUGCUCGGUGUGUUCCUUUAACAUAAAUCAGGUGCCUUUUCUGAGGCUUUAAUGAAAUCACCAGCCAAUUCAAUAGACAUACCAUCAGUUCUUAAUAUUGUUGCCUCUGGGUCACAAAAUGUAUUUUUAAGAUUAGUUUAGGCGAUAAUAUAUAUAUGUAUAAUCUUCAAAUAACAGUCGAUUAGUUAAAAAAGCGCUAAUUUUAGAAUUUGAUUAAACAAAUGCGGAGGGUUCAGGCGCGAGUCGGUCACGUGAUGUGCUCCUCAGUUCUGUCAGUAGGGGGAGUGGGAGAACGCGUGUGUGUCGUCGUAUCUGUUCUGCUCAUCUAGCGCGUAUUUCUUUAUUAAUAUCUGCUGGGUGAAUAUUAAUACGUAUAUGCUAACAUUAAUUUUGUGACCACAAAAUGACAGCGAGCUAUUAUACGAGAUAUUGUGUCGUCGUGUUUGUCUUCACUCACUUCAUCAUUAUCUGGUAAGUGCUAUAUGCAAUAUCUGGUAUGAGACUUUAUUGGCACUAAAGGGUUCUUUCGGCUAAAUUUUACUUAAUUUCUGUCAUAACAGCAAACAACUUCUGCAACUACACAAUGAUUGUCUGCCUGUGUGCAAAAUAAAGCACGUUCACUGUGUAAAACCCCGCGCAGGGCAUUUUCAAAUUAACGGUCAGGGCGAGUCUGAGCUUAUCGUGUUCUGUUGACAGAGACUUUGCUGAGUGUAUGUAAAUCUGGGCUACAGUCCACGACAAAUUUUCUACGGUAGUUUUACGCCUGCAUGCUGGUCCUUUCGUCUAUCGCGGGGAUAUCAUCACUACAGCGGACAUCGCACUGAAGAGAUCCUGUGCUUGCGUGGCGGUGUGUUUGUGUGCUCACUUGGAUUGAGACCAGCAGUGCUCUUUUAAACAGUGGGACCUGAUAUGGAUUAAUCCAAUGAUCAACGUUUUCCUUUGUAUCCCUGUUUUGUAUACGCUGCCAUUACAUGAUGGUCAUAUGUCCCGGAUGAUCGGGAGAAGUCACGUGGUUCAAUUAUUAUUAUUUUUUUACGUGGUUCAAUUAUCUGUUAAUAAAAUUUUUUUACCAUGCAUUUAGCAUCAGGCAAAGCCUGCAAUCAAUCUAUUAAGACAGAAACAAUAUCUUACUUAUUAUUAUGUUGUUAUGAUAAUAUCAUGUGAUCAUCUGAGUUAGAACAAAAUCUAUUCAUUUUCAGGUAUAACUGUGCAAGUGCCCUGAAUCAUUUUGUUGAAAUGUUAUGUGUUUAAGAUUCUUUAUGACAUCAAGAUGUGGUUUGGGAAGGACCUUCAUCUUAAUCUGAAGACAGGACAUACUGGCUCAAAAAGGUGUUUCUGAUAUGGAGAAAAACCCUGCACUGCUCAUUUUAUUUCUUCAUCUUGAGAAUACAGCAAGUUUACCUUUUGUCUGGAAAAUGAUUCAGCAAAGCUAACACCAACAACAAUUUUUCAUGGCACUUUAAACCACCUUGAUGUGAGGAGCCAGCAUCAGAAUGGAUGGUGUCAAUAUCCUGAAAGUGGAGGUAACAGAGGUGGAUCUCAAGACUUGGCCAUGUUCUAGAUUAUAACUGGAUUAUCACAAGUGCUGUCGCCCCUGCUGUAUAUGACGCCCCCACCACCUACACCAGGUGUAGGAAAUGUCGGUCCUGGAGUGCCGUUGUCCUGCAGAGUUUUGCUCCAGCUCUAAACAAACACACCUGAACAACUAGAUCUGAAGAGUCACCAGAAAACUACAGGUAGGCGAGGUUUAAUCAGGGUUGGAAAUAAAAUCUGCAGGAUUUCGGCACUCCAGGACCGACGUUGCCUACUCCUGCCACCACCACCCAUACUACCUACAAAAAACUGUAUUGUAAUUAUGCUUGUAUGAUAUGGUUUUCUCAUUUAGGGUAACUACACUAUGGCAACAAUUGGAUACAUUGAUUGCUGACUGAUUUUGUUAUUUUUUCUUUACUUUUUGUUUAAAAUCUAAUCAUUUUUUUGUUAUUUUUGUUAAUAUUGUUACAAAUAUACAGUUAAAACUGCACAAUAAAUUUUCUGCUUUUAA
Molecule: non-coding RNA, 2359 nt
Organism: Paramisgurnus dabryanus
Lineage: Eukaryota; Metazoa; Chordata; Actinopteri; Cypriniformes; Cobitidae
Source: RefSeq, a predicted model, not a curated record